AACGUGAUGGGACUGAAUCCCAAGCAGAUACAGAUAUCAAUGUUAUUAAUGCUGAUACCUUCCCUCUUCCACCCCAAAUACAUGACACAAUAUGUGACAAGCACUUAGGACUGAAAGGAAAAUGCGGGUGACAGAAAGCAAGAAAGCUCUUCUGAAAUACUACAUGGAGUUGGCUGUCUGCUGAAUUCAUACAGAGUUAUGGCACCUCAGGUGCCAUGAUUUUUUCCAGACUGCUACAAACAAAAUAAAAGCCACCGAAUGAGAAAAAGAAUAAAACACGGCUAGAGCUAAAGCACAAGCAACAACAGAAAUAACAGUUGAUGUUUAAAAAAAGAGCAAAAAGAGCUCUGCAGACCUCAGUUCUCCUGAUAAAUUCUAGCUCAUCAAAUCUAGGCAUGACCCGGUUUUGACACCAUUAACAUAUUUCCCCAUUCUAAAGUUUGAAAGGACGAUGAGAGGCCGAGGCCAGCCCUAAACUCUUGCCAGGAUAUUAGAAUAUCAUCAUGCUAUCAAAAAGCCACUUAGGAACCUCUGAGCUUCCCUGUCCCUUGUCACCCAGCCCCACAGGCGGGUAAGUGAAAAGGAAUAUGAACACACCAAAUACUCAAUAUUUGUGUUUCUGUGUGAAGGCAAGUUUUCUCCAGUGGCAGGGAGAGGGGCAAAUACUCAUUUAGAAAUAAAUUCCAAAGUACUCUGUUCUUCCAGAAAAGAUCUGCCCUCAAGAGGAACGAAGAGCCUAACUGGGGAUUUCCCAAAGAGUAAGCAAUACAGGUGAGGGAAAAUACUCAACUCCAGGGCUCUCACCUUCCUGUCUCACCUGGGAGUCAAUUCAGACUAACCCCUAGCCAGAUAAAUAUAAAAACCUCACACUCAUGUCCUAUUUACCUCAGUUCCUUUACCAGCACAUAACAUUUGCCUUUCAACACAACUUACAAGGCAUAGUAAAGUAAAAACCACACAGUUUGAACACAGAUAGCAAGCAUUAGAAUUACACUUCCUAUGGCAGAGAUGUAGGAAUUAUCAUCCUGGGAACUUAAAACCACUUCCAUUCCUAUGAUAAUGCAGAUGAUGAAAAAAGUGGACAACAUGUAAAAAGAGAUGGUGAAUGUAAGCAGACAGCUGAACCUCUAAGAUUUUAAAGUGAUUUGAGAAGCAGCGAAGGCAGUCCUGAGAGGAAAAUACAUUGCAAUCCAGGCCUAUCUCAGGAAACAAGAAAAAUCCCAAAACCA
Molecule: long non-coding RNA, 1229 nt
Organism: Felis catus (domestic cat)
Lineage: Eukaryota; Metazoa; Chordata; Mammalia; Carnivora; Felidae
Exons: 2
Source: RefSeq, a predicted model, not a curated record